GAGGUCGGCAACGACCACCCAGGGCCGGAAAGCUAUCCAAACUCGGUCAUUUAGAGGAAGUAAAAGUCGUAACAAGGUCUCCGUUGGUGAACCAGCGGAGGGAUCAUUACAGAGUUGCAAAACUCCCAAACCAUCGUGAACGUUACCUACAUCGUUGCUUCGGCGGGUGGCGGGCUUCGGCCCUGCCCUCGGCCCCUCUCGGGGGCCCGCCGGAGGUACACCAAACUCUUGAAUUUACAUGGCCUCUCUGAGUCUUCUGUACUGAAUAAGUCAAAACUUUCAACAACGGAUCUCUUGGUUCUGGCAUCGAUGAAGAACGCAGCGAAAUGCGAUAAGUAAUGUGAAUUGCAGAAUUCAGUGAAUCAUCGAAUCUUUGAACGCACAUUGCGCCCGCCAGUAUUCUGGCGGGCAUGCCUGUCCGAGCGUCAUUUCAACCAUCAAGCCCCCGGCUUGUGUUGGGGACCUGCGGCACACCCGCAGGCCCUGAAAACCAGUGGCGGGCUCGCUGUCCACACCGAGCGUAGUAGCAUAUCUUUGUCUCGCUCAGGGCGUGCGGCGGGUUCCGGCCGUGAAACCCACCUUCUCGAAGGUACCCAAAGGUUGACCUCGGAUCAGGUAGGAAGACCCGCUGAACUUAAGCAUAUCAAUAAGCGGAGGAAAAGAAACCAACAGGGAUUGCCCUAGUAACGGCGAGUGAAGCGGCAACAGCUCAAAUUUG
Molecule: ribosomal RNA, 718 nt
Filed under: Chaetomium sp. LS
Lineage: Eukaryota; Fungi; Ascomycota; Sordariomycetes; Sordariales; Chaetomiaceae
Description: eukaryotic LSU rRNA
Rfam family: 5.8S ribosomal RNA (bases 275-428)
Source: RNAcentral